This 256-nucleotide long non-coding RNA is filed under the name Gossypium barbadense (sea-island cotton). RNAcentral's name for it is "long non-coding RNA (GBAR_LNC009863)". Lineage: Eukaryota; Viridiplantae; Streptophyta; Magnoliopsida; Malvales; Malvaceae. The record is from RNAcentral.
AAACACAACUAGAAUUUCAGCUGCUUGGUCUUGUAGAAAAUAUUUCACUCAGAUUCACUGAGAAAAUCAAAGGGGAUGACAAAGGGUAAUUUCCAGACAAAUUAUACAACCCACAGAAACCCAACUGUCCAUAACAUAGCGAGUUUGCGCUUUCAGCUACCUCGUAAAAGCUACAUGCACCGUGGGAAAUAGGUUUGCCCCACAUACCCACCAUACAUAGCCCUUUUCACAUUUGAUUCAAACAUCUUCGGAUUAU